UAAGUGUUUCAAAAUAUAACUGGUUUUGUUCUUCUCAAUUCUACACUAGCAAGGAGCAAAUAUGGUAAAUUUACAAAUUCACAUAAUAACAUACAACAAUUUCAAUACAUUAGAGCAUAACAAUUCCAAAAAUACAAGUUGAUCACCACAUUACAAUUGUUUAGAUGUCAACCAGAGCUUCAAAUGUGAAAGCCAAAUCAAAUUUAAAGAAAGGCCUUAACUUCCAAUUCCCAAGCACAUGAAUAUCUUAUGAUCUGAUGGCUUUCUUGUACCAAUAAUAUUCAGAAAAUCAAGACCCGGGAACUUAUGAUCUCAAUAGCUUAUCGUAUAUGAUUAGUGAGAUCCAGGCUAGAGUCAUGACAGUAGCCUAUGCUCGCUCACACUGCCUGUAGAUACCCACUCCAAACCAAGCAAGGACAAUUACGAACUAGUAUUCCAUUGUCAGACAAAUUGGCAAUCCUCACAUUUGAUCCCACAAGGUAGGAAGUACAUGGAUGCACACAAAUGUAAUUAAAUUAUCUCUUGUUUGACUAGAUAAAACAAGUCAGGUGUAAUUGAGAAAAAGCAUGCUAAUUAUCAUACUGACUUGAUUAAAAGAUGUACAAAGUCCUAAUUUUUUUAACACAACCAAGAAUAUCUAUCAUCGCCAAAAAGGCAAAAUCAAAACCAGACAAGGAUUCGCUAUUAUAACUAAUCUCGUAAUCUAAAAGGGUCAUAAAUCACUAACCACUUUAAUGUCCCCUUGUGCGGUCACAAAAAAAUAUGAUUUUGAAUCAAUAUGAUCUCCCAUUUAUAUAUUCUAUUCUAGUGCGUGAAAUUGUGGUGAAGAAAUUCAAAUAUUACAAACAAAUGCUCCUUUAAUCACAGAUACGAAUUCUUUCUUGUACCAGUUUAACCAAGAACUGUAAAUUUCAUUAAAAUGGGAAUGUAGAAAUGAUUGGUCUGAUUCAAAUUUGCACUAAUUCAAAGCUUGCCGUUUAAAUCCCUUUAUGUGGAGCAAGAAAUACAUAUACAUCACAUUCCUAUAUAUAGAUAGAUACACAAAUAUAAAGAGGAUGGUCAAAGAAAAUAAGCCUUCAUACGCGGGCUCCGGGAAGAACCAGAAGAAACAUUAAACACAAAAUCAACCAAAAUAUGUUAAAGAUGUACAAGUCCUAACUUGUUCAAAACCCCCAAAAAUCUUACCUUUUUAUAGUCGGUGAUAUUGCAAAGCUAAAGAUAUUGACUUCUUUGUUGUUCAACGGAUAGACAGCAAUCGGAGAUAGUGAAGAGAAUGGCGGCGAAGUUGGUGGAAAUUAAUGAUUCACGACAUAGGUUCGGCGAUCAAAAACUGGGUGUGCGUUCGACGAGGGUAAAGAGGGAUUGGUUUUGCUUUCCUUCGAUUAAUUGAUGCAUUUUUUCUUUUCUUUUUUUUUUUCCAAAAAAUGCUUGCCAGCUCAUCUGUAUGGCUUCUGUGAGCCAAUUAUGUACACGUAGCUGCUUCGAAAAUAAAAAUAAAUAUAAA
RNAcentral lists this long non-coding RNA (1504 nucleotides) under Olea europaea subsp. europaea. Lineage: Eukaryota; Viridiplantae; Streptophyta; Magnoliopsida; Lamiales; Oleaceae. The record is from RNAcentral.